CUGAACCAGCUUCUCGGCGCCAUUUUGUCUGGGCAGCGGUGGCCGCAGCUCUAUCGCAUAUUAGGUUUCUGGCGAGACAGGAGGGGAAUCUUUAUCCCGUGGAUUCGUGUAACUGCGGCAGCCAUCCACCGUUCCCUCCAGGACAGCACCUAGUGAAGGUCAGAAGAGUCUCGGUCUAUCAGAAAGUUGAUCUAAAGGAAACAGGACAGCUCCGUGACAGACAUCCGGAAGUAUUACUGAGAGGAAGCCUCGCUUUGUGGAAAAAUGAAGGAAAGUGUUCCAGUUUUUAAAAGACCUGGAUCUGCUAUCUGUUGAAAUUGUAUUUCUGGUUCUUUUGUGAAUGACAAAUGAAAGCAGAUGGAUAGUCUUAUCAGAUAAGUGCUUUUUUAGUCUGAAUGUGCUGAGGGUGAGUCAAAAAUUAUCCUCACUCUGGUUAUAUUAAAACUUCUGUUGGCCACACUGUCUUAACAGUGCUUUCCGUUCAAGGCUACUGUCUCCCCAGUCACCGUUACAUCAGUUCAUUUGUAACUGAGGUUCGAGCAAAAAUGGAUGCCCCGCUUGUGAUUUGCACAAAAGAAGAACAGCGUGCAGUGAUUCAUUUUUUGUGGUCUGAGGGUGUACCUGGUGCCGUUAUUUAUCGAAGACUUCGUGCGCAGUAUGGAGAAAGUGUUUUGUCGCGAAAAACUGUGUAUGAAUGGAUAGAGAAGUUCAAGGAAGGUCGCACAGGUGUUAGCCAUCAAGAAGGAGCCGGACGCCCAUCUACGUCCAUGGAUUAAACGCAGAGGAUUGCUAUCCAAGGGCAUCAUGAUCUUGCAUGACAACACACGUCCGCACAUUUCUGCGCACACGGUCAACACACUGCAAAAACUUUGAGGUGUUAAAACAUCCUCCCUGUAUGUAGUCCUGAUCUUGCUCCAUUGGACUUUCAACUGUUUGGUCCCCUGGAAGAAGCCCUGUGAGGACAAAGAUUCUCUUCUGAUGAAAAAGUGAAGACAGCAGUGCAUUUGUGGCUCGCAGCUCAGCUUAAAACAUUUUUUAAUGAGGGAAUACGAAAGCUUGCUGAUGGACAAAAUGUAUUGAAAAGCAAUGAAAUUAUGUCGAAAAAUGAUGUAUUUGUCUUUUCUAAAAGUUAAAUUCUACAGCCAGAGUGCAGAUAAUUUUUGACUCACCCUCAUAUUUUUUCCAUAAGAUGGCUCUGGUAAUGCUUAGUUAUCUUUAACUUCAUUCUAAACAAUUUUGUUUAAUUGUGUUGACAGCUAUCAUAUCAGUGUGCACUUUUUUAAAAAUUAUCAAAAUUGGUGACUUUUUGUGUAGCCAUUUUAAUAUUGCAGAUGGAAGGGAAAAAAGCAAGUUAAAAUCAACUGAAAUGCAAAGAAAGAUUUGCAUGGUUUAUGGAGAAGGUGCUGUAACUGAUUGAACGUGUCAAAAGUGUCUGCAGAGUUCCGUGAUGGAGACUUCUGGCUGGACGAUGUUCCACGGUCAGGUAGACCAGUUGAAGUCGAUAGCAAUCAAAUUGAGACAAAUUGAAAUCAGUGCUAUACCACGCAGGAGAUAGCUGACAUACUCAAAAUAUCCACAUCAAGCACUGAAAAUCAUUUGAACCAGCUUGGUUAUAUUAAUCACUUUGAUGUUUGGGUUCCAUGUAAGUUAAGCGAAAAAAACCUUCUUGACCAUAUUUACGCAUGUGAUUCUCUGCUGAAACGUAAUGAAAACGUUCCAUUUUUUUAAAACAAAUUGUGACAGAAGAUUAAAAUUGGAUACUAUACAAUAAUGUGUAAUGGAAGAGAUGUUAAGGAAAAAACCUGAAUGAACUUUUUGACCAGUCCAAUAUUUGUAAUCUCUAAACCAAAACCUUAUUCUUUAAAACAUUUCUUUUCUAGGUACCGGUAUCGAGGUUUACAGUAAUAAGGUAUUCAGUCUUUUCUGAAAAUAAAUUUGUAAUCUUGUCAAAGUAAAAUGCACCAGCCUUUUUUUCCCCCAGAGAGACUAAUCAUACCUCAGUAGGGCAGCUACAGUGUCCCUACAGUUGAACCUAGAUUAUUAUUAAUCCUCGGUAUAAUAUGUGUGAAAAUCAAUUCCUUUUCUUCUAUAAUAGCUGAAAAGCUAGGUGUAUCUGCUUAGUUUUAGAUUUAUCUCAUGUAUGUUUUUGAGGUGGCUUAGCUGCUCAAAUUUAAGUUUCUUUAGAACCAUGUUCCUUUUAAAGAGGGUUAUUAGCUAUUCCAAUGUGACUUUAAGAACUCACAGUACAAUGAAAAUAGAAGAUUCAUGUGCCAUUCAUACUUUGAAAGUUGGAAAAGUAUAUAGAAUGGUCAGAGACUGGCUUAUUUGUCCAAUUUAAUGUUGUUUCGGUGUUUGUCGAAGGCCACUGGUGUCAUUCUGAGUUAAAUAUAUGAGUUGUAAAAUGUAGCAGGUAAUUUUAUAUAAAAGCAGCCAUGGUAAUGAGAUUCUGGUUUUGAGUUGUUUGUAUAGUAGUUAACUAUUCUCGUAUGAUUCACUGUUUAAACUAUACAGAUGCUCAAAGUCCAACAACACUCUGCUGCUAAACUCAGUGACUGUCUCAGGAAAGCAUGACAGUUGAAUGGAGUAAUACUGGCAUGAGGCCAAUGAAGGGCGUGUGUAUACCUGGCAUACUUGGCCUGAGUUCAAAUUGUUUCUUCCUGCUGUGAGUGCUACUGUUCCUUGAAGGCCACAAUACUGAUUUUUCCUCUCAGUAUCAGUUCUGUUUACAGAGCACUUCUACAUGUAUUCUGAUUUAUUUUUUAAGCAUAAAGUAUGGGUAUUUUUAUUUGAACUUUACAGAUCAAGAAAUUUGACAGUAAAAUAGGGACUUUGUGAAUCCUUAAAUCCACUGCUCAAAAGAAAAAUAAAAUUCUGAUGGUUAACAGUGGCUGAUGACCAACAAUCAUCUCACUGAAUACAAAACUGGAUAGUGGCAUUAACUGCCUAUGAAGUUGGUAGGUACUUUUUACACAACAGCCCAGCAGGAUAUAACCUUUAGAUUAUAAAUGAGCGAUGAAAUGGAGUUUUGAAUUAAUCUGAUUCCAAAGCCUGUGUGUGCAGUGUUUUAACUAAGGAAUUUUACAACAGGCAUAGAGCUACGUCCUA
Molecule: long non-coding RNA, 3105 nt
Organism: Hippopotamus amphibius kiboko
Lineage: Eukaryota; Metazoa; Chordata; Mammalia; Artiodactyla; Hippopotamidae
Exons: 4
Source: RefSeq, a predicted model, not a curated record